GCCCGCAGCCGCCAUCUGGCGGUGGGAGCCCGGCCCUGCCCGGCUGAAGGGGCCGCUAAUGAAAUUCUCGAUGAUUAUUAAAUGACGAAAGAUCCCCCUCCUUCAGCUCGUGACAGAGCAGCAGGCGCCGAGGCUGAUUUUAGUUGAAGCACAGAAAGCGUGUGGGUGUUCCCAGCGCAGUGGGGAGGGGGAGAUGGGACCCCCUGGCAGCCCACCCCUGUGCUCGUUUAGCCACCCCGCUUUGGUUUGGGGUUCCUUUGGGGUUCCUGUGAGCAACCACAGUGCUUUGGGGACACUGUGGCACCUCAGUGGUGUGAGCCGCCCGGGUCUGAAGGGCAGCUGGGUACGUCCAGGUGGCCCAGACUUUGCCUGUGAGGCACUGACUCACCUGUGCCUGCGUGCCACGCCACGGGACCGGCCACGUCACCGCCCGUCCCCACCGGUCAGAGGCGAGCCAUGGAGUCACCCCUUGGCCCUGCCGGGGCGACGUGGCCGGCAGGGUGUCUUGGCAGCAGAGCAGCUGGGAGAGGGACAUUCCCGUCACGCCCCGAGCAGUGCCUAGGGUCAAGGGUGCGAGCCCCGUUGUGAGCGCCUCAGUUCCCACUCUUCAUUCCGUGCAGCAUUCGGGGUUUGUGUUUCCUAAACCCCAGCUCGGGGGAAAGAAGCCGGCACCAGAGCACUUCCCCAGUGCCCCCCAGCCUGCGUUUCGGCUCUGAGACCACAAGAACGACUGUGGCGUUGCACAAGCGACCCUGCCGCGGACGUGCUUGGUUUCUGCAGGGCUCCCAGCCCCGCAAUAUGCCGCUAAAGCUGCUUGGAAGCGAUGCUGGAAAAGGUGACAGGCUGGGAUUUAAAUAGCUGUGACUGAUCUAGGCCUCCACCAGAGAAAUCUGAAUAUCAAAGCAUUCAAGGCACCGGUCUCAGGGGCUGCCUCAAAGUGUGUCUGCGUGUUCCCAGCGCAGGGCGAUCAGGUGGGAACUGGUGUUUGUGGUGUGGCCCCCGUGCUUGGGGGCCGAGCGUGCCUGAGGCUGCAGGGAUAAGCAUGGAUCCUGGGCAUCCCUGCAUCCUUCAGCUCCUUUUUUUCCCCGUUAUCCUGCCCGUGCUGAAUCCAAAAGGGCACCAGGAGCAGGGCAGGUCACCUCACGGCACACACUCGGCCCUUUUUGCCAUCCCGAGCCGCUGCUGCGGAGCCGGGCCCAUCCACAGGCAGGUUUUGCUAGGUGUGGGGGCGGUGGGACCGGCAGGGCUGCCUGCAAGCACAGCUACACGCGCCCGGGCUUCAUUCCUCUGACAACUGAUCCCUGAGUUUUUCCCUUUGACCCUGGAGCUGAAACCUCCCUUUGCAGGAAUGUUUUCGGGGGGAGUUUGGCGCAGCUCCAGCUGCUGAAUUUUUCCAUGAACAGAGACCAGCCCCUGCCUUACAAGGCCCCACAGCAUUUGCUGCGGCUGCUCUCCUGCAAUCACCUAUUUAAGGAUUUAAGUCCCCAGUGGGGAGUGGGACAACGCCAGCCCUUAGGCUCUGAGCAGCCCUGCAGCCACAAAGCUGGCGCUGGUGGCUGUGAGCCCCAUGGGAGGAUGCUGGGGCACAUGGAGCUGGUUGCUCAGGCUCCCCCUGCAGCAGUGGGCUGCUGACCACCUCCGUGAGGGUUCUCCUGUGCUUGUUGUUCCUAAAAAGUACAGCAGACUGAGCCCAGUUCUCCUGAUCAUCCCCCUUGCCAUGCACAGGAAACAGCAGCCAACAAUGAUGUGAAGAAUGCACUCUGCCAGCUGCAGGCCAGGCGCUCCAAGGUGGGACACGGCCAAAUUUCAGCUGCCCAGGUAACCUCAGCUCAACCCACACUGUACGUGGCACAUCCUUAGUGCCCAGGGAGGAAACCAGGCUUCGGGACACAGCUGCAGCCUGUCUGAGGGACACGCAGGUGGGUUGUCACUGAAGCUGGGGAUGAAAAAAGCAGGUUUGUGAGCAGGUUUGGUCUCAAGUUCCCAACAGCAGGCAGAGCAGGGCUGGGGCUCCCAAAUAAAGCUUUUGUCAGGCGGCUUCUGACUGCGUUCCUCUUUGUUUUGCCCCAAACUUGAAGCCUGGGGAUGGGAUGUGAGGUGCUGACCCAGAUCUGCCGCAGUCAGUGGAAACACUUGAAGAGCUGUAGGUGGCUAAAACUCGCCAAAAAAUCAGCCCCUUGGGGGACAAAAGCAGGGACAAAAGUGUUUGGGGGUGCUUGCAGGGAGGGCGAUGGUUGCUGGCCCCAGCCUCCCCUAGCAGCUCUGGCACAGCACAAGCGGCGUGAAGGGAUGUGGUGUUUCCUGGUGAGGUUUUUACUGUCUGCCCAGGGGAAAUUUCUGUUCUUUGGCUGCGUAAGUGCAAAAAAAAAAAAUAAAAACAGAAACAGGCUGGGGGGGUGGGGCAGGUAAACUGGAUGAAACAGAGUACAGAAACAGGGCAGCUUUUAUAGGAAGCGUAGAGGGGGCUGUUGCAGGAAUGUGAGUUGAAAGCAGUUGUCCCAGGGCAGAGUAAAGGAACCUGGUGUCUGUGGUGCAUGCCGUGUGCUCACAGAGAUGGUGGCUGAGCGCUGAGGCCAUCCCUAGAGCCCUGCCCGACAGACUCCCCCUUCCACUGAUGCUGCUGAUCCCUUGUGCUAACCAGGGGGAGAGCAAAGCUCAGAGCAGUGGCGGGGCUUUCCUCUGGUUGUACUCUGUCACUGCAGGGGAGCUGAAAGGGGCCAUGGCCUGGGUGAACCCCACCUGUAACAUUUUUUCUUGCCUGCAGAGGCAAACCAUCCACGUGGGUUUUGCUUGUUCCUGCCCUUGCAGGGUUGCCCUGGGGCAUUCGAUUCCCUGGGAAUGGCCCGCAGGCCCCUGGUCAUCUGCCUCCCUGUCUUUAAAUAUCCGCCAGAGAGCGGAGGGGAUGGAGCCAGGUGGGAAUUUGGUUUAUUUUAGUGCUUGGCAAGAUGGGAAAGGAAGCAGCUGAGCCUACGGGGGUGCCCUUUGCGUGACCCGGGCGCUUGCACCGCUGUGAGCAUGGUGCCACCAGCUCAGCCCAGUCCCUGUGCUGUGCCAGGGGAGUUUUGUUUUUUACAGCCCUUCUCGUCCCUUGGCAUACAUUUGGCAUGCUCCUUGUGCCACCGGUACGAAGCUGCAGGGGAUGGCUGCCCUAGACAGCCCCCAGCCUGGGGUGCUGGCAGUUUUGGUUUUGUGUUGACGAGGUGACAGCUGUGCCACCUCUUUGCCCUGCUUUGGCCUCAAUUUGCAUGAGGGGCUGCUCCCCCAGCCCCUCAGCACCUUGUGGGCAGCUUCAGCCCACGCUGUCCUCCCAGAAAUAGAGCCAAAAGCACAGCUUUACGCCUCCAAAGGCAAGUUUUGCCGUUUCUCUGUUUCUGUGGCAAGAUUUGGUUUCUCUCUUUGCAGGAGGGCACGGCCAACAGGGAGCAGUGCUGCUGUGGCAUGGAGCUCUGUGACAGCACAGCUGGCAUGGGGCAGUGGCCUCCACACUGGGGUCACCCCAGCCCGUGGGGGCCAAGGACGUGGUUUUGGUUGUGUCACAGCUGGGACAGGACCAGGGCAGUGGUAGGAGCCUGGGAGGUGUCACGCUGCUCACUCCUCUGCCUCAACAAUCCGUGCUGGGAUGCGGGAGAGUGCAGGAGGCGACCACUGGCAUUACCUCCGCCCAUCUCCUGCCCCAAGCACGCAUCCACCAGGGCUCUGGGAGCCGUGGGACCCUGCCUGGUCUACCCGUGCCAGAUGUCAAGGCUCUCGAUCGGCGCCGGCUGGCUGGAGAUGAAAGCAGCCACGCUCCCACACUGGGUCACGCAGUCCCUGCCAGACACUGCUGUUUGCCGUCCCCCCUGCCUGCGGGGAGAGCUGCCUGCCUCCCCUGCAGUGUGGCUGCACACCCAGGCGAGGGUCAUCAGUGCUCCAUGAAGCAGAGAUGGGCAAAAACCUGGGGACAAGAGCUUGCAAACUGCCUGGGGACAGAUCUGGCUGUGGGGACAGGUUUGUGUUCAGAAGGAGUGGGUCGUUGCCCCAUCUCAGGGCACUGGCACAACCGUGGGAUCCUUUAGGAUGAAACAGGACCUCCUCAGGAAGCCACUGGCCUCAAAUCCCCCUGCUGGAGGCCGCAGUAGGACGGGGAGUGCCGAGCCAUGACCCAGCACAGCACCAAGUUGUCACUGAUGUUAUGUUUGGCCAGCACCAGCCUUCCCCAGCCCCCAGAUGGGGUGAUGAGAGCCCAGGGCAGCGCAGCAGCGUUCAGAAACAACAUCGAGCCCCCCCAAAAUUACAGUGCUAACUUUGGAAGGUGUCACAGCGGAUGGGCAGAGUCCCCGUGGAAGGGAGAGCUGAAACCAGUGAUUUCCAGUGAUGUGCUUGUUCUGGGGCUCGGUGCCGGGACGCAUUAAGCAAACGUAAUGAGGCAUCGCGCAGAGCAAGCCUUUCAGUGACCCUACCCUACUGUAUCUGCUGUUUAUCGGGGGUCACUGUGACCCCUGUCUCACAUCCAGGAGUCUGGCAGCCCCGCAGCACACCGUGGCAUGCUGCAGGCUUUAGGUAAUGCACAGGACGGGUGCAGGAAAGGAAAUCAGCAAGCAUGCACGAGGAGUUGCUGGGGUGCACAUUUGGGAUCGCACAGGAACACGGCACAAAUGCCACCAGCACCCCUGGUGCCCCGUGCCAGGGGUGACAUCUCUCAGGAGCUCCCACAAAAAAAAAAAAAAAAUCUAUCUCACAGCAUUUAUUGGGUGAUAAAAGAGCAGUUGGCAGCUCUGCUGGAAGCAGCAUUUCUCCUGUUUGGUUUUGCAAGGAAAAUUAUCCCAAACCCACUUCUCGCACAGCUCUUUCCCCUUUGAUGUGAGCUGAAGAGUUUUUGGCUACCCAGACGUUUCAGGGCUUUUUAAAAAAGUUUUACGCUGUUUCGCUGGAUUUCCCCCCGCAAGUGGAUUCCCCCCCGCAAGAGGUUAACGGUUCAGCUGUAAGUUAGAGGAAGUUAUCUGAAGCAAUCUUGCAAUUUAUAGCUUUUCGUUCACUAAAUAAGAAACGGUCAGGAAAUUAAACAGGAAAUUGCAUCUGGAAGGAAAACUCAGACAAAAGUUGAGUUGUCAGAACACGCUUAGGAAGGAUUUGCUUUAUUUUAAACAGUAAGGAGCCAAGAUCAAUAGUCAGAAAAAGAAGGAGCUUUGUGCAAAUUAAAUCACACAUUAAGGAAAAAAAAUAACAAAACACUUGGGGAAGAAAAGAAGGUUUUGUAAGGAGAAGGUGAGGAUAUCCUAUGAAAAAUCAGAAGUAAGGCUUCGCAUUUUCAGCUUGGAGGUGCUGAAACACAAAGGCCUAGCUGAGAGCUUUACUUCAGCCUGUGCCAGCCUGGUUCCUGGCGUUGCCCACACCAUGCUUCACUGUGUGAGAAGCAGAAGCCAACAAGUGCCAAACACGAUGCAGCUGCAGGGAUCUUUCCAGGCCUCCCUCCUCCAGCAAAAGCUGCCGAGACGCUGCGUGCUCCUGGCCUCAGCUUUUCUGCAGGGUUGCCCAGCGGGGAGGGCCAGCCCCAGCCAAAUGGGACUGCUGGGCAAGGGAAAAUGCAGCUGUGAGCACUGCUGCUCCUUCUGCAAACUGCAGUGCUUUAUAAGGAUCCCAAGCAAAUAUUUGCUCCCGUGUCGCCUACGUGCAUUGUUCUCAGGGUUAAUUACAGGCUCCAGCAGGGAGAUUGGGUAAGCUGUGAUGUUGUUUUACCAUCAUACUCCUCAUCUUAUCAGCGUUUGAGAAGCAAGCUUAGCAAGUGCCGAACUGUACGGGUAGGUCAGGGCUGAUGACCCGAAGCCUCUGCCUGGCAGGUGGCACUGAGGGUUUUCAGGUGUACGCUUGUACCUGGCGGCACCUGACUCGAGGAAGCUUUUCUCCAGGAUCCUUUAUUAUAUUUACUGUGGUGGCUUCCCUGAAACAAUCUUUGCUAUGACAGCUCUUCAACUGUGUAUGGUUCAAGCUGCAUGUGAUUAAUCCCCUGCUGAUAAGAGGACCAUAACACAUGGGAGCCGUGCCAGCCCCGAGCAGCCACGUGGGCUGAGCAAAUGUGGCCACGGAGGGGACCUGGAGGAGGCAGCUGUGGCCGAGGGUCGUGUUGCACUGCCUCUUGCAGCACUGUCCACCCCCAGGAGGAAGAUUUUGGGCACUCCCUGACAUGGUUAAAAUAGCUGCGGGUGCGGCGUGUGCUGUUGCUCCCACAGCUUGGAGAACACUGAGGAAGUUUGGGGGAAUUUCCCACCACCAGGGGCACGGCUGGGGGACCUGCAGGGGGAUUUCACUCAAACAAAGCAAGAGCUCGGAGCCUACCACCCAUUUCUGACAGGGCAUUUUAACAAAGGGCCACCCUCCUCUUAGAAAUGCCGUUGUUUGACUUGGCAGCGUGUCCUGAAGGUAAUAACUGCUCUAUCAUCAUCGCACUGCCACUGUGGAGACUCUGCCCUUUGCGGGAAGAGGUGGCGUGGUUCUGAUGCAAUUAGCAGGACAUCCCCUGCAAGAAGGUGUGACAGCACUGGUAGAGAAAGGCAGCCGUAGUGGCACACCAUCAAACCACGGGCAUGGAUGUGGGAUCCACGUGGGACUCGGCAGGCUGGCUCAGGUCCCGCCAAGAGCCACCUCAGCAGCACCGUGCCCGGGACGAGCAGCGCAAACACCUCUCAAACACCUCUCCUGCAGCCGGGAGGGCUGGAGCUCCUCGUGGGCCGUGACUCAGCCCUUCUGCACCUCCCUCGGGGCGAAGCCGCCCUUCCUCACCCCGAGCCGUGGUGUGGGGUGAGGCUGUCCCCGUUGGCCGGAGUCCUGCUGUGUGCACAUUUCCAGUGUGGCGUGCUUGUGACCGUUCACCCACGAACCUCGGGGCUCUCGUCAUGCUGUGCGGGUGGGAGAGCGGGGUGUCCACAGUGUGAUGUGGUGCUUUUUGUCACUGCGGCUCUGCUUUGUGUCACGGGGGCUGCGUUAAAACCGGGAUAAAUCCUGUGAGCACACCGCUGGCGUGCACCUGAGCAUGUUCUGCCCCAAGGCUGACCACCCUCUACUUAUUACAAUGAAUAAAUUAAUAGUAAUAACGAACAAUAA
This is a non-coding RNA of Anas platyrhynchos (mallard), 7077 nucleotides long. The record is from RefSeq and is a predicted model, not a curated record. Lineage: Eukaryota; Metazoa; Chordata; Aves; Anseriformes; Anatidae.